UUCAGAGUCGCUUGUCUCAUCC
RNAcentral lists this microRNA (22 nucleotides) under Cavia porcellus (domestic guinea pig). Its description in RNAcentral is "cpo-miR-12073-5p". The record is from miRBase by way of RNAcentral. Lineage: Eukaryota; Metazoa; Chordata; Mammalia; Rodentia; Caviidae.